UGUUUUGUCAUUUAAUUUGAA
Non-coding RNA from Caenorhabditis elegans, 21 nucleotides. NCBI's taxonomy places the organism in Eukaryota, Metazoa, Nematoda, Chromadorea, Rhabditida, Rhabditidae. The record is from Ensembl.